GACGAACGCUGGCGGCGUGCUUAACACAUGCAAGUCGAACGGAAAGGCCCUGCUUUUGUGGGGUGCUCGAGUGGCGAACGGGUGAGUAACACGUGAGUAACCUGCCCGUGACUUUGGGAUAACUUCAGGAAACUGGGGCUAAUACCGGAUAGGAGCUCCUGCUGCAUGGCGUGGGUUGGAAAGGUUCGGCGGUUGGGGAUGGACUCGCGGCUGAUCAGCAUGAUGGUGGGGUAGUGGCAUACCAAGGCUUUGACGGGUAGCCGGCCUGAGAGGGUGACCGGCCACAUUGGGACUGAGAUACGGCCCAGACUGCUACGGGAGGCAGCAGUGGGGAAUAUUGCACAAUGGGCGGAAGCCUGAUGCAGCAACGCCGCGUGCGGGAUGACGGCCUUCGGGUUGUAAACCGCUUUCGCCUGGGACGAAGAGUGAGUGACGGUAAUGGGUAAAGAAGCACCGGCUAACUACGUG
RNAcentral lists this ribosomal RNA (468 nucleotides) under uncultured bacterium. RNAcentral's name for it is "partial 16S ribosomal RNA". It matches the Rfam family "Bacterial small subunit ribosomal RNA", at positions 28 to 507 of the family's 1533-position model. The record is from RNAcentral.